GACGAACGCUGGCGGCGUGCUUAACACAUGCAAGUCGAACGGAAAGGCCCUGCUUUUGUGGGGUGCUCGAGUGGCGAACGGGUGAGUAACACGUGUGUAACCUGCCCUUGACUUUGUGAUAACUUCUGGAAACUGGGGCUAAUACCUGAUAGGAGCUCCUGCUGCAUGGUGGGGGUUGGAAAGUUUCGGCGGUUGGGGAUGGACUCGCGGCUUAUCAGCUUGUUGGUGGGGUAGUGGCUUACCAAGGCUUUGACGGGUAGCCGGCCUGAGAGGGUGACCGGCCACAUUGGGACUGAGAGACGGACCAGACUCCUACGGGAGGCAGCAGUGGGGAAUAUUGCACAAUGGGGGGAAGCCUGAUGCAGCAACGCCGCGUGCGGGAUGACGGCCUUCGGGUUGUAAACCGCUUUCGCCUGUGACGAAGCGUGAGUGACGGUAAUGGGUAAAGAAGCACCGGCUAACUACGUG
RNAcentral lists this ribosomal RNA (468 nucleotides) under uncultured bacterium. Its description in RNAcentral is "partial 16S ribosomal RNA". It matches the Rfam family "Bacterial small subunit ribosomal RNA", at positions 28 to 507 of the family's 1533-position model. The record is from RNAcentral.